GGACGAACGCUGGCGGCGUGCUUAACACAUGCAAGUCGAACGAUGAUCAGGAGCUUGCUCYUGUGAUUAGUGGCGAACGGGUGAGUAACACGUGAGUAACCUGCCCCUGACUCUGGGAUAAGCGUUGGAAACGACGUCUAAUACUGGAUAUGAUCACUGGCCGCAUGGUCUGGUGGUGGAAAGAUUUUUUGGUUGGGGAUGGACUCGCGGCCUAUCAGCUUGUUGGUGAGGUAAUGGCUCACCAAGGCGACGACGGGUAGCCGGCCUGAGAGGGUGACCGGCCACACUGGGACUGAGACACGGCCCAGACUCCUACGGGAGGCAGCAGUGGGGAAUAUUGCACAAUGGGCGAAAGCCUGAUGCAGCAACGCCGCGUGAGGGAUGACGGCCUUCGGGUUGUAAACCUCUUUUAGUAGGGAAGAAGCRAGAGUGACGGUACCUGCAGAAAAAGCACCGGCUAACUACGU
RNAcentral lists this ribosomal RNA (467 nucleotides) under Curtobacterium sp. 'ARUP UnID 287 '. Its description in RNAcentral is "bacterial SSU rRNA". It matches the Rfam family "Bacterial small subunit ribosomal RNA", at positions 27 to 506 of the family's 1533-position model. The record is from RNAcentral. Lineage: Bacteria; Bacillati; Actinomycetota; Actinomycetes; Micrococcales; Microbacteriaceae.